This 253-nucleotide ribosomal RNA is filed under the name uncultured bacterium. RNAcentral describes it as "partial 16S ribosomal RNA". It matches the Rfam family "Bacterial small subunit ribosomal RNA", at positions 524 to 776 of the family's 1533-position model. RNAcentral also lists the same sequence under 1 other name. The record is from RNAcentral.
UACGGAGGGUGCAAGCGUUGUCCGGAUUUAUUGGGUUUAAAGGGUGCGUAGGCGGCUCUUUAAGUCAGCGGUGAAAGUCCAGAGCUCAACUCUGGGAUUGCCAUUGAUACUGAAGAGCUUGAGUAUAGUUGAGGUAGGCGGAAUUGACAGUGUAGCGGUGAAAUGCAUAGAUAUUGUCAAGAACACCGAUUGCGUAGGCAGCUUACUAAGCUAUAACUGACGCUGAGGCACGAAAGUGUGGGGAUCAAACAGG